AGAGUUUGAUCCUGGCUCAGGACGAACGCUGGCGGCGUGCCUAACACAUGCAAGUCGAGCGAAGAAUUUAUCAUGAAGCCUUCGGGCAGAUUGAUAAACUUCUUAGCGGCGGAUGGGUGAGUAACGCGUGAGGAACCUGCCUUCUACAAGGGGAUAGCCUCGGGAAACCGGGAUUAAUACCCUAUGACACUAAUUCUCUGCAUGGAGAAUAAGUUAAAGCGUUAGCGGUAGAAGAUGGCCUCGCGUCCCAUUAGCUAGUUGGUGAGGUAACAGCUCACCAAGGCAACGAUGGGUAGCCGGCUUGAGAGAGUGACCGGCCACACUGGAACUGAGACACGGUCCAGACUCCUACGGGAGGCAGCAGUGGGGAAUAUUGCACAAUGGAGGGAACUCUGAUGCAGCGACGCCGCGUGAGUGAUGAAGGCCUUCGGGUCGUAAAGCUCUGUCCUAUGGGACGAUAAUGACGGUACCAUAGGAGGAAGCCCCGGCUAACUACGUGCCAGCAGCCGCGGUAAGACGUAGGGGGCGAGCGUUGUCCGGAAUUACUGGGCGUAAAGAGCGCGUAGGCGGGUAAUUAAGUCAGAUGUGAAAGACCGGGGCCUAACCCCGGGGUUGCAUCUGAAACUGGAUAUCUUGAGGGCAGGAGAGGAAAGUGGAAUUCCUGGUGUAGCGGUGAAAUGCGUAGAAAUCAGGAGGAACACCAGUGGCGAAGGCGACUUUCUGGACUGACCCUGACGCUGAUGUGCGAAAGCGUGGGUAGCAAACAGGAUUAGAUACCCUGGUAGUCCACGCUGUAAACGAUGGAUACUAGGUGUGGGAGGUAUCGACCCCUUCCGUGCCGGAGCUAACGCAAUAAGUAUCCCGCCUGGGGAGUACGGUCGCAAGGCUGAAACUCAAAGGAAUUGACGGGGGCCCGCACAAGCGGUGGAGCAUGUGGUUUAAUUCGAUGCAACGCGAAGAACCUUACCAGGUCUUGACAUCCCUUGACAGCCUCAGAGAUGAGGUAUCUCUUCGGAGCAAGGAGACAGGUGGUGCAUGGUUGUCGUCAGCUCGUGUCGUGAGAUGUUGGGUUAAGUCCCGCAACGAGCGCAACCCUUGCUUUUAGUUGCCAUCAUUAAGUUGGGCACUCUAAAGGGACUGCCGGUGACAAACCGGAGGAAGGUGGGGAUGACGUCAAAUCAUCAUGCCCCUUAUGUCCUGGGCUACACACGUGCUACAAUGGUCUGUACAGAGGGAAGCGAAGCAGUGAUGUGAAGCGAAUCCCACAAAACAGAUCUCAGUUCGGAUUGCAGGCUGCAACUCGCCUGCAUGAGGCUGGAAUCGCUAGUAAUCGCAGGUCAGCAUACUGCGGUGAAUACGUUCCCGGGCCUUGUACACACCGCCCGUCACACCACGAAAGUUUGCAACACCCGAAGCCGGUGGCCUAACCCGUAAGGGAGGGAGCCGUCGAAGGUGGGGCAGAUGAUUGGGGUGAAGUCGUAACAAGGUA
Molecule: ribosomal RNA, 1489 nt
Filed under: uncultured bacterium
Lineage: Bacteria
Description: 16S ribosomal RNA
Rfam family: Bacterial small subunit ribosomal RNA
Source: RNAcentral